AAUCCUUGCUAUCUGGGUGCUAGUGCUGUCUCAAUGCAAUGCACCUGGGCAAGGAUUCAG
RNAcentral lists this microRNA precursor (60 nucleotides) under Macaca mulatta (Rhesus monkey). Its description in RNAcentral is "Mml-Mir-362-P6_pre stem-loop". It matches the Rfam family "mir-500 microRNA precursor family", at positions 19 to 78 of the family's 84-position model. Lineage: Eukaryota; Metazoa; Chordata; Mammalia; Primates; Cercopithecidae. RNAcentral also lists the same sequence under 3 other names. The record is from RNAcentral.